This 546-nucleotide ribosomal RNA is filed under the name Hemiberlesia rapax. Its description in RNAcentral is "eukaryotic LSU rRNA". Lineage: Eukaryota; Metazoa; Arthropoda; Insecta; Hemiptera; Diaspididae. The record is from RNAcentral.
AUCUGGGUGGCGGAAUUCAGGAUGGCUGGCGUACUCUCGCGGUGCGUCAGUCGUUUGCAAUUUCCGUCGCCAAUUACCGCAGACGUCGCGACCUGUUCGCGGUCGGUCCCUGCUCGGAGGAGCCGCGUUCGAGCUCGUUGUGUGCGCGUUUCGGCGUGUCACACGGCGAAGGCGCGGAUCUCUGGCUGGCCGUCGGACAGUAUGCUUAACGGUGUCCGGUGUCGUCGUCUCGUACGCGCGGCAUCGGUACCGGUCAGCGACGAAUUCUUCGGGCCUCUUUCCGACCCGUCUUGAAACACGGACCAAGGAGUCUAACAUGCGCGCGAGUCGCGGGGUAUCGAGCGUACUUCGGUGCGUUCGUUAUGUUGCGAAACCCGUACAUGUUGAAGGCGUAAUGAAAGUGAAUGGGGAAGAUGGCGCUCCGAGUUCACGUUCCGCGAUCAUUGGUAUCGCGGCCGGACGCCCGCAUUCCCGGGGCGUCUCAACGGCCCGUCGCUGAUGCGGACCGUCGUCCUUCGGGGCGGCUGUCGGUCGGCGACGAACCGA